This is a long non-coding RNA of Xiphophorus couchianus (Monterrey platyfish), 1371 nucleotides long. RefSeq lists it as uncharacterized. The transcript is spliced from 2 exons. The record is from RefSeq and is a predicted model, not a curated record. NCBI's taxonomy places the organism in Eukaryota, Metazoa, Chordata, Actinopteri, Cyprinodontiformes, Poeciliidae.
UCUUAUCAAAGAUUUACUUGCAAGUUAGUUUUGCUCUAUUUCAAGUGUACAAAGAUAUUUGCAUUAGAAACGGGUAAAUGGUAAGAUUCGGUAUUUUUGCAACAUAAUUAGCAACAAUUAGCACAUUAUCUGAAAGAAAUCUGAAAUUGAAGUAAAAACAGUGACAUAGGAAAGCCGUUUCCUACAUCAAGGUGAACUAUCUAUCAUAUCAUCCAAGGUAAACUGAACAUUCCCAGCACUUCGUGUGGCCGACGCAAGGUUAGAGAAGAACCAACAGAGUAACAGCGCGUCCUUGCAGCUGUAACAUGCGGCCAGUUAAACAGCAGUGAUGAAAAACGAAAGCUCACACGGGAAGCUGAAUCAUCUUGAUGUCUGAUCUAAUCUCCUCUCAUUAGAUUUAGUGAUCGGUUGAGGGCUCCCAGGGGUCACAUGCAUGAAGACAUUGCUUACAUGUAGUUGUCACAUGUUUUAUAGCUGCUUGUUAACAGUCCCUCUGACUGCUGGCCAUCCUUUGACCCUUGCUGAAGCCUUGACGACUGCUGCGGACCACACAGAUUCGUCUGAGCAGUGUAAAUCCCAGAGAGCAGAGCGGCAGCUCCGCGGCCUGCCUGUACACGUCCUGCUGUGGGCUGCUGUCACCACACCUUCAGCUCCCAAACAGCACAAUUAUCCUGCACCCAGUGACAGAGUUCAAGGCAGCUUGAGCUGUUUGGCAUGGCUUUAAUUUGACUUCCACUGAUGAAUCUGUCAACAGCGUCAGUUAGACCGUCUGCAGCAAGAUCCCGACGCAAACACGAGAGGGCCGUUAUAAAUCUCACAAGGUCGCCGUCACCAGGAAACGUGCGACGUCUACAGCAGACGUUUGUGUCAGCGGUGAUUUGUCAGCUAAUAAUGGAUCUCUGCGGCAGGUAAUGGAAAUGAAUGGCAGCAGAGAAUGGAGCGGAGCCUGAAGAGGAAUGCAGAAAGUGAGCUAAACACCUCCCACAGGUCUGCUGGGAGAGCAGGCACACACAUGUGGCCCAACCGACCGGCUCCCAGGACCCGGGAGGAGGCGACACGCCGGCCCAGCAGGGACUCACUGCUUUACGCCUCUAGUCUAGUACAAACCUCAGCUUCAUCCACAGGCAGGAUGUAAUACUUAGAAAUGAUUUACAUUUCUAUAAAGGACAAUUUCAAAACAAAGAGUUUCUAGCUUCUUUGUUUUUCAUCCUAAACAUCCUCUCUGUUUCUAAUAAAGGCACAAAGGUGUGUUUUUCUUCAGAAACCCUCAGUAUCUGUCUCCAUUACGGAUCCAGUUCUAUGUGAUGUAUUUAAAGAAAACUAUCAAAACAAUCACAUUUGUCUUUAGUAAAGGAACAGCUUGUGUGAGUA